Long non-coding RNA from Prunus dulcis (almond), 877 nucleotides. RefSeq lists it as uncharacterized. Lineage: Eukaryota; Viridiplantae; Streptophyta; Magnoliopsida; Rosales; Rosaceae. The transcript is spliced from 3 exons. The record is from RefSeq and is a predicted model, not a curated record.
UAUUCUCUGCUUUGAUAAAGGAAGCAUAUCAGACAAUGUACUCUAUGAAAGAUAUGAUCAGUCAACACGGUAAAUUUUGCAUUAUUCAACGAAAAAUGCUUUAAAGCGUGGAACAAAUGUGGCAGAGCUAUACCGUUUCAGGAUUUGGAUCAAGUAUUCUGGAGAUCAGCUUCUUUUGGCUUUCUGUAAACCACUUUGGAAAUGUGUAAUCUGCUCUGCAAAUCUAUCCAUGGGCAGAAGUUUCAGAUACAGAUUACCAGCAAGUAAUUCAAAAAGAAUCACUCCACAAGACCAAACAUCUGCAGCUGCUCCGUCGUAGACCUUAUUGACAAGCAGCUGUUCAUGAAUAAUGAAGGCGAUCAACCACAUAACGAAGUGAAAUUCAGGAGCAACAUAACUUGGAGAUCCACAUUUUGUUGACAACAGGUCACCAGGCUGUUGAUCAUCAGAAUUUCAGCAAAGCACCAAUUUUUAUUGUCAGAUUUUAGGACUUGUAAAUAAAUAAUGGCUCAAGAACAUAAGGAAUUUGCAAAAUUGUCUCUACCUUACGCAAUGCACUUAGUCCAAAAUCGGAUAUCUUCAGGCUCCCCUUACCGCACAAAAGCAAGUUUUCUGGCUGUAUAAUAUGCCAUAGUCCUUGUCAGUUCCUGGUCCUCCCCUGUGGGGAAUUUUCGCAAAAUGAUGCGUAUGGUUGUGUUUUAGUUUUUACUCACCUUUAGAUCUCUGUGAUAUACACCUUUGUUGUGACAGUAGUCCACUGCAUCAAUCAAUUGCUGAAAAAGCUUUCUUGCCUCUCCUUCACUAAAUCUUUUGGCAUACGACUUUUUUUAAAUAAAUAAAAAAACAAAAGAAAUUCAAAUUACUAUACAUAUGAAAA